Molecule: ribosomal RNA, 238 nt
Filed under: uncultured bacterium
Lineage: Bacteria
Description: partial 16S ribosomal RNA
Rfam family: Bacterial small subunit ribosomal RNA
Source: RNAcentral
AAUCAUGGCUCAGGAUGAACGCUGGCGGCGUGCAUAACACAUUCAAGUCGAACGAGGCAGCAAUGCCUAGUGGCGGACGGGUGAGUAACGCGUGAGCAACCUGCCCUUGCGUGGGGGAUACCAUCUGGAAACGGAUGUUAAUACCGCAUAAAGUACAAGCGACCGCAUGGUCGUAGUACCAAAGAUUUAUUGCGCAAGGAUGGGCUCGCGUCCCAUUAGAUAGUUGGUGAGGUGACGG